RNAcentral lists this ribosomal RNA (306 nucleotides) under uncultured bacterium. Its description in RNAcentral is "partial 16S ribosomal RNA". It matches the Rfam family "Bacterial small subunit ribosomal RNA", at positions 507 to 808 of the family's 1533-position model. The record is from RNAcentral.
GACAGCAGCCCCGCGGGAAUACAGAGGGUGCGAGCGUUAAUCGGAUUUACUGGGCGUAAAGCGUGCGUAGGCGGCUUCUUAAGUCGGAUGUGAAAUCCCUGAGCUUAACUUAGGAAUUGCAUUCGAUACUGGGAAGCUAGAGUAUGGGAGAGGAUGGUAGAAUUCCAGGUGUAGCGGUGAAAUGCGUAGAGAUCUGGAGGAAUACCGAUGGCGAAGGCAGCCAUCUGGCCUAAUACUGACGCUGAGGUACGAAAGCAUGGGGAGCAAACAGGAUUAGAUACCCCCGUAGUCCCUGUCUCUUAUACA